This 2069-nucleotide long non-coding RNA is filed under the name Anas platyrhynchos platyrhynchos (common mallard). RNAcentral's name for it is "lncRNA (ENSAPLG00000027849.1)". Lineage: Eukaryota; Metazoa; Chordata; Aves; Anseriformes; Anatidae. The record is from RNAcentral.
UGCCCACACUUUCCCCAGAGCUUAAACAUAGCCUUGUUACGAUCUGUGCUUCUUCUCAACUGGCAGCCACCUCUGUGACAAUGUCCCCACAGCAAUAAAAAGAUCACUAACACAUUUGAUGUUCAGAUGGAGUGCUAAACUACAAGAAAGAAAAUAUUAAGCACAAACAUCCAUAAAUAAUAUGUGUGAUGCAGUUACGCAGUUUGAAAGGCACAAGUUAAGAGCACCAGGGCUCACACACAGCAGUGUUUGGCUGUUAGCAUCUUGGCUGGGCAAAACCAUUUGAAGGCAGGCACAGGCAGCCAUCACCUGGAGACCCGGCUGGGCAGCAGGGCUCAGCCAUCACACCUAGGGAGCCCUGGAGAGGAGCCAUCUGAGGUCCCAUGACAGCCUUGGCCUCAGCCCCUGCACACUGCUAACUCCCAGCCCUCCUUCUGGGUGCAAGGCUCAAGAUGGGUGGGGUGAGGAGGCACAGGUGUGCUGAGGAGAGGUGAGGUGCAGUGGCUAUUUUGUGGAGGUGAGGGGAAGGGGUUUCUCUGGAGAGAGACGGAGAGAUGCUUCUGAAAGUCAGUAAGAGGAAGGGAAACAUGAGCAGCAGUAUAUAGAGGACAAACUUUGGAGGCCAGGAGAUUUGCAGCUUGGUCAUUGAUGAAGGAGAGUCUCAGCCAACUGCAAACGUUCCAGCAGCUCAGUUGAAGUAAAGGCUUUUAGAAUAUCUUGCAACUGAGGGGAUGGGAGCACCAAAGGUCAUGUCUGUGUGUCUUUGAGGGAGCAUGGAAGGCCAAUGCCAGUCCAACUGAUUUUUGAAAAUAUCUGCCUAAGCUGUAUCUCAGAAGCACACCCCGGGGGCUUAGAAGUCACAGUGGAUUUACAUAACUCCUAUUCCCUUAGCUGCUCAUCAUACUCAGGUACAGCAUCUUACAUGAAACAAAAUUACUUCAUCCUUUUCUGUCUCUCUCUCUUUUUUUUUUUUUUUUUUUUUUUUUUAAACUGUCUGUCUGUUGAAAUCUAUGGCUGGAAGAAACUGAACCUAGCUUUACAGAGGAAGAUAGAAUUAAACAAGCUUUAAACUAGACGCUGUACAGGUUAUCAUGACUGUGGCAUCAGAAAUGAGCUUCCUAAUUUUUUACCUUCAAACUUUGGAGAGUUUUGCAACUUUGGCUGUAAGAUCCUUCAUUUAGUCAAAUCAGGAACUAAGACAAGAUAGUGAUCAUUCAGUUACAUUUACACAAUACUUAGCCACAGAAUCACAGAAUCACAGAAUUUCUAGGUUGGAAGAGACCUCAAGAUCAUCGAGUCCAACCUCUAACCUAACACUAACAGUCCCCACUAAACCAUAUCCCUAAGCUCUACAUCUAAACGUCUUUUGAAGACUUCCAGGGAUGGUGACUCCACCACCUCCCUGGGCAGCCCGUUCCAGUGCCUAACAACCCUUUCAGUAAAGAAAUUCUUCCUAACAUCUAACCUAAAACUCCCCUGGCGUAACUUUAGCCCAUUCCCCCUCGUCCUGUCACCAGGCACAUGGGAGAACAGGCCAACCCCCACCUCUCUACAGCCUCCUUUAAUGUACUUAUACAGAGCAAUAAGGUCACCCCUGAGCCUCCUCUUCUCUAGGCUGAACAAGCCCAGCUCCUUCAGCCGCUCCUCAUAGGACUUGCUCUCCAGGCCCCUCACCAGCUUCGUCGCCCUUCUUUGGACCCGCUCAAGCACCUCGAUGUCCUUCUUGUAGCGAGGGGCCCAAAACUGAACACAGUACUCGAGGUGCGGCCUCACCAGAGCCGAGUACAGGGGGACGAUCACCUCCCUAGCCCUGCUGGUCACACUGUUUCUGAUACAAGCCAGGAUGCCGUUGGCCUUCUUGGCCACCUGAGCACACUGCUGGCUCAUAUUCAGCCGACUGUCCACCAUCACUCCCAGGUCCUUCUCUGCCUGGCAGCUCUCCAACCAUUCCUCUCCCAGCCUGUAGUUCUGCUUGGGGUUAUUGCGCCCCAGGUGCAGGACCCGGCACUUGGCCUUGUUGAACUUCAUACAGUUGACCUCAGCCCAUCGGUGCAGCCUAUCCAGAUCCU